RNAcentral lists this ribosomal RNA (401 nucleotides) under bacterium enrichment culture clone ALO1_GLFRUDD03G63R1. RNAcentral describes it as "bacterial SSU rRNA". It matches the Rfam family "Bacterial small subunit ribosomal RNA", at positions 9 to 412 of the family's 1533-position model. The record is from RNAcentral.
GAGUUUGAUCCUGGCUCAGAUUGAACGCUGGCGGCAUGCCUUACACAUGCAAGUCGAACGGCAGCACGGGAGCUUGCUCCUGGUGGCGAGUGGCGAACGGGUGAGUAAUGCAUCGGAACGUAUCCUGGAGUGGGGGAUAACGUAGCGAAAGUUACGCUAAUACCGCAUAUUCUGUGAGCAGGAAAGCGGGGGACCUUCGGGCCUCGCGCUCUUGGAGCGGCCGAUGUCGGAUUAGCUAGUUGGUGAGGUAAAGGCUCACCAAGGCGACGAUCCGUAGCAGGUCUGAGAGGAUGAUCUGCCACACUGGAACUGAGACACGGUCCAGACUCCUACGGGAGGCAGCAGUGGGAAUUUGGACAAUGGGGGCAACCCUGAUCCAACCAUGCCGCGUGAGUGAAGAA